RNAcentral lists this ribosomal RNA (305 nucleotides) under uncultured bacterium. Its description in RNAcentral is "bacterial SSU rRNA". It matches the Rfam family "Bacterial small subunit ribosomal RNA", at positions 334 to 636 of the family's 1533-position model. The record is from RNAcentral.
GGUUUCUACGGGACGCAGCAGUGAGGAAUAUUGGUCAAUGGGCGUGAGCCUGAACCAGCCAAGUCGCGUGAGGGAGGACGGCCCUACGGGUUGUAAACCUCUUUUGCCGGGGAGCAACGGGCGCCACGUGUGGCGCCACUGAGAGUACCCGGAGAAAAAGCAUCGACUAACUCCGUGCCAGCAGCCGCGGUAAUACGGAGGAUGCGAGCGUUAUCCGGAUUUAUUGGGUUUAAAGGGUGCGUAGGCGGAUCGUUAAGUCAGUGGUCAAAUUGAGGGGCUCAACCCCUUCCCGCCAUUGAAACUGG